Molecule: long non-coding RNA, 368 nt
Filed under: Helianthus annuus (common sunflower)
Lineage: Eukaryota; Viridiplantae; Streptophyta; Magnoliopsida; Asterales; Asteraceae
Description: sRNA HanXRQr2_Chr03g0098611
Source: RNAcentral
UUCAUAUGCUAGAAAAUAGAUCAUUAUGCAUUUUCUUAAACUAUACUUAGCGACUUAUAUCAGUUUAGAAGCGAAAAACAUCAAGCUACAGGCCAUUUUCGGGAGUCUUGAGAGCGGAAUGACGAAGCAGAAUCUCAUCAGGCUCUAACAUAUUGACACGGUCCAUCAAAGAAAGGUUGCGUCCCACAAUACUCACUUGUGAAUUUGCAUGCCCAAUUUACCUGAGUGCAUCCAAAGACUUUUAGAAGCUUUAAUGAUGAGCAGUUAUCGGUAAUAAACCCAAUUGCCUCGUCAGUUAAUUCACGGCACCAUGAUACAUCCAAACUUACCAAAUCUUUUGAAAAUUUGGCAAGGGAGAAGGCAGUGUU